GACUGUUCCAGUAUCCUAAGUGGUUAGAGUGUCUGCCUUUUAUGCAGGAGGUCACAGGUUCAAACCUGGCAGAGUCA
Potamilus streckersoni is the source of this 77-nucleotide non-coding RNA. NCBI's taxonomy places the organism in Eukaryota, Metazoa, Mollusca, Bivalvia, Unionida, Unionidae. The record is from the annotation of a GenBank genome assembly.